This 326-nucleotide unclassified non-coding RNA is filed under the name soil metagenome. Its description in RNAcentral is "partial contains 5.8S ribosomal RNA, internal transcribed spacer 2, and large subunit ribosomal RNA". The stretch from base 1 to 120 matches the Rfam family "5.8S ribosomal RNA", at positions 35 to 154 of the family's 154-position model. The record is from RNAcentral.
GAUGAAGAACGUAGCGAAAUGCGAUAAGUAAUGCGAAUUGCAGAAUCCGUGAGUCAUCGAAUCUUUGAACGCACAUUGCGCCCCUUGGUUAUUCCGAAGGGCAUGCCUGUUCGAGCGUCAUUAUCACCCCUCAAGCCCCGGCUUGGUGUUGGGCCCCGCCCGCUGUGGCCGGCCCUAAAGACAGUGGCGGCGCCGCCUGGCCCUCAGCGUAGUACAUCUCUCGCUCCAGGGUCCGGUGGCCGCCUGCCAGAACCCCCCAACUCUGUGGUUGACCUCGGAUCAGGUAGGGAUACCCGCUGAACUUAAGCAUAUCAAUAAGCGGAGGA